UACGUAGGCAGCGAGCGUUGUUCGGAGUUACUGGGCGUAAAGCGUGCGUAGGCGGUUGUCUAAGUCUGGUGGGAAAUCUCCCGGCUCAACUGGGAGGGUGCGCCGGAAACUGGAUGACUGGAGUGCCGGAGAGGUAAGCGGAAUUCCUGGUGUAGCGGUGAAAUGCGUAGAGAUCAGGAGGAACACCUGUGGUGUAGACAGCUUACUGGACGGUGACUGACGCUGAGGCACGAAAGCGUGGGUAGCAAACGGG
RNAcentral lists this ribosomal RNA (253 nucleotides) under uncultured bacterium. RNAcentral's name for it is "partial 16S ribosomal RNA". It matches the Rfam family "Bacterial small subunit ribosomal RNA", at positions 524 to 776 of the family's 1533-position model. The record is from RNAcentral.